AGAGCGAACGCUGGCGGCAGGCCUAACACAUGCAAGUCGAGCGGCCGUAGCAAUACGGCAGCGGCAGACGGGAGAGUAACACGUGGGAACGCGCCCUUCGGUUCGGAAUAACUCAGGGAAACUUGGGCUAAUACCGGAUACGCCCUUACGGGGAAAGAUUUAUUGCCGAAGGAACGGCCCGCGUCCGAUUAGCUUGUUGGUGAGGCAACGGCUCACCAAGGCGACGAUCGGUAGCUGGUCUGAGAGGAUGACCAGCCUCACUGGGACUGAGACACGGCCCAGACUCCUACGGGAGGCAGCAGUGGGGAAUAUUGGACAAUGGGCGCAAGCCUGAUCCAGCCAUGCCGCGUGGGUGAUGAAGGCCCUAGGGUUGUAAAGCCCUUUCGGCGGGAAGAUAAUGACGGUACCGCAGAAGAGCCCGGCUAACUUCGUGCCAGCAGCCGC
Molecule: ribosomal RNA, 444 nt
Filed under: uncultured bacterium
Lineage: Bacteria
Description: SSU rRNA
Rfam family: Bacterial small subunit ribosomal RNA
Source: RNAcentral